UGGGGAAUAUUGGACAAUGGGCGCAAGCCUGAUCCAGCCAUGCCGCGUGAGUGAUGAAGGCCCUAGGGUUGCAAAGCUCUUUCACCGGUGAAGAUAAUGACGGUAACCGGAGAAGAAGCCCCGGCUAACUUCGUGCCAGCAGCCGCGGUAAUACGAAGGGGGCUAGCGUUGUUCGGAUUUACUGGGCGUAAAGCGCACGUAGGCGGACUAUUAAGUCAGGGGUGAAAUCCCGGGGCUCAACCCCGGAACUGCCUUUGAUACUGGUAGUCUUGAGUUCGAGAGAGGUGAGUGGAAUUCCGAGUGUAGAGGUGAAAUUCGUAGAUAUUCGGGGGAACACCAGUGGCGAAGGCGGCUCACUGGCUCGAUACUGACGCUGAGGUGCGAAAGCGUGGGGAGCAAACAGG
RNAcentral lists this ribosomal RNA (404 nucleotides) under Actinomycetes bacterium. Its description in RNAcentral is "Actinobacteria bacterium partial 16S ribosomal RNA". It matches the Rfam family "Bacterial small subunit ribosomal RNA", at positions 355 to 776 of the family's 1533-position model. Lineage: Bacteria; Bacillati; Actinomycetota; Actinomycetes. The record is from RNAcentral.